This 289-nucleotide unclassified non-coding RNA is filed under the name Tolypocladium sp. RNAcentral describes it as "partial contains 5.8S ribosomal RNA, internal transcribed spacer 2, and large subunit ribosomal RNA". The stretch from base 1 to 71 matches the Rfam family "5.8S ribosomal RNA", at positions 84 to 154 of the family's 154-position model. The record is from RNAcentral. Lineage: Eukaryota; Fungi; Ascomycota; Sordariomycetes; Hypocreales; Ophiocordycipitaceae.
GUGAAUCAUCGAAUCUUUGAACGCACAUUGCGCCCGCCAGUAUUCUGGCGGGCAUGCCUGUUCGAGCGUCAUUUCAACCCUCAAGCCCCAGCGGCUUGGUGUUGGGGACCGGCCCCGCGCCGCCCCCGAAAUGCAGUGGCGACCUCGCCGCAGCCUCCCCUGCGUAGUAGCACAAACCUCGCACCGGAGCGCGGAGACGGUCACGCCGUUAAACGCCCAACUUUCUUAGAGUUGACCUCGGAUCAGGUAGGAAUACCCGCUGAACUUAAGCAUAUCAAUAAGCGGAGGA